UUAAGUGACUAAGCGUACACGGUGGAUGCCUAGGCAGUCAGAGGCGAUGAAGGGCGUGCUAAUCUGCGAAAAGCGUCGGUAAGGUGAUAUGAACCGUUACAACCGGCGAUACCCGAAUGGGGAAACCCAGUGUGUUUCGACACACUAUCAUGUCAUGAAUACAUAGUGGCAUGAGGCGAACCGGGGGAACUGAAACAUCUAAGUACCCCGAGGAAAAGAAAUCAACCGAGAUUCCCCCAGUAGCGGCGAGCGAACGGGGAGGAGCCCAGAACCUGAAUCGGCUUGUGUGUUAGUGGAAGCGUCUGGAAAGUCGCGCAGCAAAGGGUGAUAGCCCCGUACACUAAAAUGCACAGGUCGUGAGUUCGAUGAGUAGGGCGGGACACGUGACAUCCUGUCUGAAUAUGGGGGGACCAUCCUCCAAGGCUAAAUACUCCUGACUGACCGAUAGUGAACCAGUACCGUGAGGGAAAGGCGAAAAGAACCCCGGCGAGGGGAGUGAAAUAGAACCUGAAACCGUGUACGUACAAGCAGUGGGAGCACCUUCGUGGUGUGACUGCGUACCUUUUGUAUAAUGGGUCAGCGACUUAUAUUUUGUAGCAAGGUUAACCGUAUAGGGGAGCCGUAGGGAAACCGAGUCUUAACUGGGCGAAUAGUUGCAAGGUAUAGACCCGAAACCCGGUGAUCUAGCCAUGGGCAGGUUGAAGGUUGGGUAACACUAACUGGAGGACCGAACCGACUAAUGUUGAAAAAUUAGCGGAUGACUUGUGGCUGGGGGUGAAAGGCCAAUCAAACCGGGAGAUAGCUGGUUCUCCCCGAAAGCUAUUUAGGUAGCGCCUCGUGAACUCAUCUUCGGGGGUAGAGCACUGUUUCGGCUAGGGGGCCAUCCCGGCUUACCAAACCGAUGCAAACUCCGAAUACCGAAGAAUGUUAUCACGGGAGACACACGGCGGGUGCUAACGUCCGUCGUGAAGAGGGAAACAACCCAGACCGCCAGCUAAGGUCCCAAAGUCAUGGUUAAGUGGGAAACGAUGUGGGAAGGCAUAGACAGCCAGGAUGUUGGCUUAGAAGCAGCCAUCAUUUAAAGAAAGCGUAAUAGCUCACUGGUCGAGUCGGCCUGCGCGGAAGAUGUAACGGGGCUAAACCAUGCACCGAAGCUGCGGCAGCGACGCUUAGGCGUUGUUGGGUAGGGGAGCGUUCUGUAAGCCGUUGAAGGUGGCCUGUGAGGGUUGCUGGAGGUAUCAGAAGUGCGAAUGCUGACAUAAGUAACGAUAAAGCGGGUGAAAAGCCCGCUCGCCGGAAGACCAAGGGUUCCUGUCCAACGUUAAUCGGGGCAGGGUGAGUCGACCCCUAAGGCGAGGCUGAAAAGCGUAGUCGAUGGGAAACAGGUUAAUAUUCCUGUACUUGGUGUUACUGCGAAGGGGGGACGGAGAAGGCUAGGCUAGCCGGGCGACGGUUGUCCCGGUUUAAGCGUGUAGGGGGUGUGACCUGGUAAAUCCGGUUGCAUAUCAACCCUGAGGCGUGAUGACGAUGCACUACGGUGCAGAAGUAGUUGAUGCCCUGCUUCCAGGAAAAGCCUCUAAGCUCCAGGUAACAUUGAAUCGUACCCCAAACCGACACAGGUGGUCAGGUAGAGAAUACCAAGGCGCUUGAGAGAACUCGGGUGAAGGAACUAGGCAAAAUGGUGCCGUAACUUCGGGAGAAGGCACGCUGGCAUGUAGGUGAAGUCCCUUGCGGAUGGAGCUGAAGCCAGUCGAAGAUACCAGCUGGCUGCAACUGUUUAAUAAAAACACAGCACUGUGCAAACACGAAAGUGGACGUAUACGGUGUGACGCCUGCCCGGUGCUGGAAGGUUAAUUGAUGGGGUCAGCCGCAAGGCGAAGCUCUUGAUCGAAGCCCCAGUAAACGGCGGCCGUAACUAUAACGGUCCUAAGGUAGCGAAAUUCCUUGUCGGGUAAGUUCCGACCUGCACGAAUGGCGUAAUGAUGGCCAGGCUGUCUCCACCCGAGACUCAGUGAAAUUGAACUCGCUGUGAAGAUGCAGUGUACCCGCGGCAAGACGGAAAGACCCCGUGAACCUUUACUAUAGCUUGACACUGAACAUUGAGCCUUGAUGUGUAGGAUAGGUGGGAGGCUUUGAAGCGUGGACGCCAGUCUGCGUGGAGCCAUCCUUGAAAUACCACCCUUUAAUGUUUGAUGUUCUAACUCGGCCCCAUAAUCUGGGGUGAGGACAGUGUCUGGUGGGUAGUUUGACUGGGGCGGUCUCCUCCCAAAGAGUAACGGAGGAGCACGAAGGUUAGCUAAUCACGGUCGGACAUCGUGAGGUUAGUGCAAAGGCAUAAGCUAGCUUGACUGCGAGAGUGACGGCUCGAGCAGGUACGAAAGUAGGUCUUAGUGAUCCGGUGGUUCUGAAUGGAAGGGCCAUCGCUCAACGGAUAAAAGGUACUCCGGGGAUAACAGGCUGAUACCGCCCAAGAGUUCAUAUCGACGGCGGUGUUUGGCACCUCGAUGUCGGCUCAUCACAUCCUGGGGCUGAAGUAGGUCCCAAGGGUAUGGCUGUUCGCCAUUUAAAGUGGUACGCGAGCUGGGUUUAGAACGUCGUGAGACAGUUCGGUCCCUAUCUGCCGUGGGCGUUGGAAGAUUGAGAGGGGUUGCUCCUAGUACGAGAGGACCGGAGUGAACGCACCACUGGUGUUCGGGUUGUCAUGCCAAUGGCAUUGCCCGGUAGCUAAGUGCGGAAAAGAUAAGCGCUGAAAGCAUCUAAGCGCGAAACUUGCCUCAAGAUGAGUCUUCCCUGGGCCUUUAAGGCCCCUGAAGGAACGUUUAAGACUAAGACGUUGAUAGGCUGGGUGUGUAAGUGCAGCGAUGCAUUGAGCUAACCAGUACUAAUGAUCCGUGAGGCUUAACCUU
RNAcentral lists this ribosomal RNA (2906 nucleotides) under Serratia marcescens. RNAcentral's name for it is "23S ribosomal RNA". It matches the Rfam family "Bacterial large subunit ribosomal RNA". Lineage: Bacteria; Pseudomonadati; Pseudomonadota; Gammaproteobacteria; Enterobacterales; Yersiniaceae. The record is from RNAcentral.